Molecule: small nucleolar RNA, 104 nt
Filed under: Callithrix jacchus (white-tufted-ear marmoset)
Lineage: Eukaryota; Metazoa; Chordata; Mammalia; Primates; Cebidae
Description: Small nucleolar RNA SNORA42/SNORA80 family (ENSCJAG00000025558.4)
Rfam family: Small nucleolar RNA SNORA42/SNORA80 family
About the family: The members of this family belong to the H/ACA class of snoRNAs that guide the sites of modification of uridines to pseudouridines.
Source: Rfam by way of RNAcentral
GAAUGGGGUGAGCUUCUAACCCAUGCCAGAGCAAACUGUGUCCCCAAACCAUUGCCUGGCCUCUGUGCCUGUAGGCUGCUGGCACCGAAGUGGCUUGCACAAUG